AAUAAACAGACGGAGUGGUUGUGUGGAGAAAAACAACAGAUUUGGUGCCCUCGUUUUGGAUCACCUGAACCCCUCCUGCACCAGCGAUUUCCCCUUAGCCCACUCAAGGCUACAAAGCUGGGUGGCCCGCGUGCUGCCAGUCCCUAAGGGACACAGGUAAGUAUCAGAAGUGCUUAAGAAUCUUUGUUUAGU
Molecule: long non-coding RNA, 192 nt
Filed under: Astyanax mexicanus (Mexican tetra)
Lineage: Eukaryota; Metazoa; Chordata; Actinopteri; Characiformes; Acestrorhamphidae
Description: lncRNA (ENSAMXG00005003440.1)
Source: RNAcentral